UUUGCCUGGGGCAAAAUGCAUAGACAUACAUCAGAUGUGUUUUUUGUUUAAAUUGGCUUGUAUAUCAGUGUGACUGUGCAGGGAGGAAGCUUUUAAAGGUAGUACUGNAUUUGUUUCUUAAAAAGAGCCUUAAUCAAGCCUUCCAUUUAAAGUUAUACAAGAUGCCAUGGAAGGCUAAUUAAUAGUAUGACCGAAAGAACUGGAAUUAGUAAGAAUAACAAAAAUCAUACAGGAAGAUUUCACAAUGGGUUGUUUCCAGGAGCAAAAGAGAAUGAAAUAUGUAGAAUGGGCUUCUUCACCACCACCACCAACACCACCAUCAUCAUUAUUGUUGUUGUUCUGGCAAAUAUUCUUUUUCUCUUCCAUCCAAGUGACUGUCCACACAGAAGCACAGAUCAGUUUAGGUCAGGCUACGUUGUGAGCAGCUCCCAUGAUGCAUCCCACAAUCAGCUUUCAAUGCAUUCCAAAGUGCCAUUUCAGGAGUCUCCAAACUACCUUAAAAUAGCCCGAAAAUGUCUUUUCUUACUGUGUGUCAUUCCCAAGUUUCACUGGUUUUGAUUUACUUUGGGUGUUAUGGGCAUUACUACGAACACAUCUAUAGUAGGUGUGCAUACACAUAACACGCAAAGGACAUGUAUCUCUGGACUUUGGACUAUACAGCUGUAUGGGUGUUCUAACCAUGGCUUGCUCGUGGAAGGCAACUUGAAAGCAUUAUAAAGGAAAAGCCAUCUUGGAAGAAAAGACAAACCCCAUUUUGAAAUUGAGACUUUUUUCCUUCACACCUCCAUCUUCAUUUUAAGACAGAAGAAGUUUUCUGUAGACUGGAAAACCCUAGAAGCAUGUUGCAGGAGCACCUGGACUCUGCUUUUGUUUUGUUAACAUUGUCUUCACACUUGGCACAAUGCUCUUAGCGCAGCAAUGCUCUUUAAACUUCUCUUAGCAGUACCCUUGCCAUUGUGUCACACCAUUGUAACUUUGCUUUUUAUCUUUGAACCUGCCUGAUCACUAUAUUAUUAUCAAAGCCUGUUAUCUUGUUGAUGGCUGUUGCAGCCACUCAAUAAAUUGCUUCUUAUCCUUUUUAUUGUUUGAAAU
Molecule: long non-coding RNA, 1092 nt
Filed under: Salvator merianae (Argentine black and white tegu)
Lineage: Eukaryota; Metazoa; Chordata; Lepidosauria; Squamata; Teiidae
Description: lncRNA (ENSSMRG00000011961.1)
Source: RNAcentral